AUUGAACGCUGGCGGUAUGCUUAACACAUGCAAGUCGAACGGUAACAGGCCUUCGGGCGCUGACGAGUGGCGGACGGGUGAGUAACGCGUAGGAAUCUGCCUCAUAGUGGGGGACAACGUGGGGAAACUCACGCUAAUACCGCAUACGCCUACGGGGAAAGGACGGGGGAGUCUUCGGACCUCGCGCUAUGAGAUGAGCCUGCGUUAGAUUAGCUAGUUGGUAGGGUAAAGGCCUACCAAGGCGACGAUCUAUAGCUGGUCUGAGAGGACGAUCAGCCACACUGGGACUGAGACACGGCCCAGACUCCUACGGGAGGCAGCAGUGGGGGAAUAUUGGACAAUGGGCGCAAGCCUGAUCCAGCAAUACCGCGUGUGUGAAGAAGGCCCUAGGGUUGG
Molecule: ribosomal RNA, 396 nt
Filed under: uncultured bacterium
Lineage: Bacteria
Description: bacterial SSU rRNA
Rfam family: Bacterial small subunit ribosomal RNA
Source: RNAcentral